RNAcentral lists this transfer RNA (73 nucleotides) under Botryococcus braunii. RNAcentral describes it as "tRNA-Gln". It matches the Rfam family "tRNA". From Rfam's summary of the family: Transfer RNA (tRNA) molecules are approximately 80 nucleotides in length. Their secondary structure includes four short double-helical elements and three loops (D, anti-codon, and T loops). Lineage: Eukaryota; Viridiplantae; Chlorophyta; Trebouxiophyceae. The record is from RNAcentral.
UGGGGUGUCGCCAAGGGGUAAGGCAUCGGAAUUUGGAUCCGACAUUCAAGGGUUCGAAUCCUUUCACCCCAGC